RNAcentral lists this long non-coding RNA (1146 nucleotides) under Betta splendens (Siamese fighting fish). RNAcentral's name for it is "lncRNA (ENSBSLG00000005728.1)". The record is from RNAcentral. Lineage: Eukaryota; Metazoa; Chordata; Actinopteri; Anabantiformes; Osphronemidae.
AUGCAAAAUAUAUUUUUUAUUGUCUUUUUGUUUUUUGUUUUUUUAGAAUUCUGGAGGUCCCAUCUAAAUAUUCGUGGGCCUCGGGAUGUGGUGAAACCCCAAAAGGAUGAGAACCAGCAACAUCAGCAGCAGCAGCAGCCAGACUCUACUGCUGCAGCACAGACCAGUUCUGAUUCUGCUGCCCAGCCUCACGCCAGUAACCAACUCAGGACAGUCCCUGAGUCAGACACGGGUGGCAAACGGGCAGCUUCCAGUCCCACUGUGUUCCAAACGUUCUGUCCCAUCACGACGCGCAGCCCCAAAGAGCUGGACUGCGGCUCCGGCCUGGGCGCCCUCUGUUUCAUCAACCCCCUUUUCCUUCAGUCUCAGGACCCGAUGUCCAGACGGCGCAUGUUCCAGCGCAGCGCCAAGGUUCGGGUCUCUACAGAAACGGAAACUCUCUUAUCUCCCCCAAUGGUGCCACCACCUCCACCGCCACUAAUGCCCAAAAAGCGGCAGUGCAAAGCCCAGAAAGCAGGACAGGGCCUUUUGCCGUGCCAGAACUCAUGUCAGCUCACUCAGAACGAGUUCUUCAGUCAGGACACUGAGCCCAAACCUGUGACACAAACACUAGAUGAUUCCCAGGAGGCAGAACUUCAGCCUCCACCAGCAACUACUCACUUCCAGCCCGAGCUGAAGGAGCAGGACCAAGGUAAAGCUCAAGCUGGAUCGGAAGAACUACGAACAGAAACAGAACAACUCCUGGACGACUCUGACUACAAGCAGCCGUCAGCCAUUAUUUCUUCCCAGUCGCCGUCACUCUCUCCUUACUUGUCACCUAUGGCACCCCCCCCUUUCCCCAAAAACUCGGCGUGCGCUUCACCCUCCCUGUCGCCUCAUCAGUCGCCGUCUCCGUCCCGUCAGGUCCCCUUCUCCCUGUCUCCCUUCACCUCUCCAUCCUUUCCUCGCCUGACCAAGGAGCAUUAUUGCACAGCAAACACUCAUUCAAGCACAGAUCAGCAAAACGUAGAGUGUGAACCUGAGGAAGAGGCAGCAAGUACAGAUGAACUUAAGGGUGAGGACACUGAACCAAAUAAGGAGCUGGAAAAAACAGAGGAUCUGGUUUUACACACGAAUGCCUGUUGUAUUAAUAAUAGUCCUUCAUGA